AAUCCUGGCUCAGAACGAACGCUGGCGGCAGGCUUAACACAUGCAAGUUGAACGGGAUUGUUAAGUAGCUUGCUAUUUAACAAGAGAGUAGCGCACUGGUGAGUAACACGUGGGAACGUACCUUUUGGUGGGGGACAACAUCUGGAAACGGAUGCUAAUACCGCAUAAGACCUGAGGGUGAAAGAUUUAUCGCCGAAAGAACGGCCCGCGGAAGAUUAGGCAGUUGGUGGGGUGAAGGCCUACCAAACCUACGAUCUAUAG
RNAcentral lists this ribosomal RNA (261 nucleotides) under uncultured bacterium. RNAcentral's name for it is "partial 16S ribosomal RNA". It matches the Rfam family "Bacterial small subunit ribosomal RNA", at positions 15 to 286 of the family's 1533-position model. The record is from RNAcentral.